This 362-nucleotide long non-coding RNA is filed under the name Mytilus galloprovincialis (Mediterranean mussel). The record is from RNAcentral. Lineage: Eukaryota; Metazoa; Mollusca; Bivalvia; Mytilida; Mytilidae.
UGUCUGUUGACACAACAAUUUGAAUUUGAACUGUAUUAUAUUCUGAAAGUACUUGUGGUUGAAAAAAUAUACACAAUAGUUUAUUCCAGGUGGUUUACACUUAAUUCUUGAUUACACUACUACUAUUACUUCAUGUCUGUUAAUAAUGUUUAAGAGCCCUCUUCUGCAUAUAAUUGCUAUUUGUACUCAAAGAUUCCUUCAUACAUUUGCACAAGUUUAUCCUCCUAAGAUGUUGCUCCAAUGAUAAAAUCCUGUAAUGCAUACUUAGCAAUCAGACUCUUGGAAAACUUCCUACAGUUCCUGUAAUAUAAUAAAAUCUACAUGUAAUGUUUGUUUCUGUGGUCAAGGUUCAAGCAAAAAAG